UCUCUCUUGGGAGUCCCAGAGUGCCAGCAGAGGCCAAUGCCUUCUUCAGCUGUCUUCUAUACAAAUCCCUCUGGCAGAAAGACAUGGGGCUCUGGGAAUGGUCCCCGCAUGGGAUAGAAUGCCUUCGAAAAUAGAGUGACAGGCUCUUCCAUCCUUCCUUCCCCUUCCCCUUCCCCCAAAAUAUGCAAGGAAAAAGGAAACAAAUUUUCCGAGCUCCUCAAAGACUUUUGGGAAAAGGCACGUUUCGUAACAACCCCAGCCCCGCUGGAUUAGUAGUUCAAGCUGCGAACUAAAGCUUUGCACGCCAGGAAAGCGGGAUCCAGGGGGUUGGCACUGUGCACCGGGAGAUCCACGGUGCUUGCUUGGAAAGUAAUCCCUGAAAGGUGAUUGGAACUGCAACCGACACCUUAAUGAUCAAGUUUAUUUGUGCAUAAAACACAAAUCUGUAAACAGGUCUACUUUUGCCAGCUCAGACGUGGUAAAUCAAAUCGUGUGUGUGUGUGCUCUCACGCCACAGCCCAGUGAAGAGUUCAAGUUACUGCCGAGCAGAAUCCCUACCGACGAACGGUUUAUUGGGAAAACAAUAGGGAACGGCCCUGUUUCAGAUGUGACCCAACUAAACAGCAACCUGCACCUCGGAGCGGCAGAAACCCGAAAUUCUGCGCUUUCCCCUUUCUGUAACUUUACUCCUUUAUCAGCUCUCUGCUUUUCCUACAGU
Apus apus (common swift) is the source of this 718-nucleotide long non-coding RNA. RefSeq lists it as uncharacterized. The record is from RefSeq and is a predicted model, not a curated record. The transcript is spliced from 3 exons. NCBI's taxonomy places the organism in Eukaryota, Metazoa, Chordata, Aves, Apodiformes, Apodidae.